Molecule: ribosomal RNA, 258 nt
Filed under: uncultured bacterium
Lineage: Bacteria
Description: partial 16S ribosomal RNA
Rfam family: Bacterial small subunit ribosomal RNA
Source: RNAcentral
GUCCUAGCUGUAACGAUGGGUGCUUGGUGUAGCGGUAUCGACCCUGCUGUGCCGAAGCUAACGCAUUAAGCACCCGCCUGGGAGUACGGUCGCAAGGCUGAACUCAAGGAAUUGACGGGCCCGGCACAAGCGGUGGAGCAUGUGGUUCAAUUCGACGCAACGCGAAGAACCUUACCUGGGUUUGGAACUGCUGUUGUAAGCCUCAGAGAUGAGGUCCUCCCGCAAGGGACAACAGCAGAGGUGCUGCAUGGCUGUCGU